GCGGAUGAGGACAAAGGGUAGAGUCAUCUGUCUGUCGAACAGAAGAUAGUGGGUUCGAGUCCCAUCAUCCGUG
RNAcentral lists this transfer RNA (73 nucleotides) under Ktedonobacteraceae bacterium. RNAcentral describes it as "tRNA-Asp". It matches the Rfam family "tRNA". From Rfam's summary of the family: Transfer RNA (tRNA) molecules are approximately 80 nucleotides in length. Their secondary structure includes four short double-helical elements and three loops (D, anti-codon, and T loops). The record is from RNAcentral. Lineage: Bacteria; Bacillati; Chloroflexota; Ktedonobacteria; Ktedonobacterales; Ktedonobacteraceae.